Molecule: long non-coding RNA, 1153 nt
Filed under: Strigops habroptila (Kakapo)
Lineage: Eukaryota; Metazoa; Chordata; Aves; Psittaciformes; Psittacidae
Description: lncRNA (ENSSHBG00005001385.1)
Source: RNAcentral
AAUGAAUCUUUAUAAGAGUUAAGGGAAGUGCAAUUGUACUCCACAGAAUAUAGAUUUACUGUAACUCAAAUGCUGAGAUUUUGCAUAAAGCAUCUGCUUGAGGGCUGGCACUAGACUACUGGAGAUUAAAUGCAAUGUCUCAGUUUCCAAGACAAGUGACAAAUCUUGCCUAAAUGAGCUGUCUCUGCUAAGACAAGAUGCAAAGACUUUUGAAUGUAGUGUGUUUUGCCAGCGUGUGCGUUUUUGUUCUAAGGUUGCUUAAUCAUUUUACUUCAAAUCACUGGAAUAAGGUGACCACAGCAUUACUAGCUGAGUUGUACGUCAGUGAUCCAGUGCCAUUUAUUAUCUCUUUUAUUCUCCAGAAUCAGCUUCCAAGGCAUGUGGGAUAAUUAAGUGUUUUACACUGGUGGCUUGAGUGUUCAUCUGUCUUGCUCUGCUGUAUUGGAGUCAGUUGCUGUCACCGCCUUUUUCAUACCAUGUUGAGGCACAGCUUUGUAGCUACAAUCCCAGUGAGAUUAUGUAAACUAGGAGAAUUCUCAAUUUAUUUUUUUUUUUUUGUUUGUUUGAGACUUUUAUUCUUUCUUCGUGUGUCCCUUAUUAUCUCUGUCUAAUUUGAUGCUUUUAUCUGUUAGGGUGUCUUCCAUUGAAAGGCAGCUGAACCGAUUCCAGAACAGUGAUGCAUCCUGUGAGCCAGGGAGAAAUUCCACAGCCUCUGCUCGAAGAGGAGGACUAACACUGAACACCAGGAAAGAGUGAAGAGGAGGCCCUGGUGAGAGGACAACCCACAGAGGAGAGCAUCUGGACAUCUGUAGAAGAUGGUGAUACACCUGCAAGCUGAGGUGAAUGAUUGCCUCUGAGAGCUUCUGCUGCUGAGUCUUGGGGUCCCUUCCUCCCACCUCUUCCUGAUCACUAACUGUGAGAUCUUUCUAUGAGACACAGAUCCUCCAGCUGUCUGUAUUGUUCUUCCUAAGAUCCAAGUUUGAACAUAAAGUCUCAUUUGCUCAGCCAUUUCAAUCUGUCCUAGUUUGGUAACAGCCAAGAUUCUCUGCUGUCAUCACAUGGCAACAGCAGAGAAAAAUAUUAGAACGUAUGACUGGAGACAUCCGUGUUGGUUGCCAUCUUAAAUUUUGGCACAGAGCCAUAGAAAUGAUUG